Sarcophilus harrisii (Tasmanian devil) is the source of this 327-nucleotide long non-coding RNA. RefSeq lists it as uncharacterized. The transcript has 3 exons. The record is from RefSeq and is a predicted model, not a curated record. NCBI's taxonomy places the organism in Eukaryota, Metazoa, Chordata, Mammalia, Dasyuromorphia, Dasyuridae.
AAUAAUCCACUUUCUGAAAUUGAUGUACUACUGAUGUCAAUGCUACUCAGCAGGCUGGGCAGAUUAUAGAGAGGUGUAAAAAAGAGAGAGAGAGAGAGAGAGAGAAGAGAGAAGAGAGAAGAGAGACAGAGAGAGAUUCCUCUGAGUACAAAACAACAUUGUAGGCCUAGUUGAUGAGAAAGGAAGGACAAAAAUUUCAACUUCAUUGUCAGAGAACAAAAUGCAAUCUGAUAUGUGAUAUAUGCACUAUCAAGUAAAACAUUUCCAAAUUAGUCAAAGUCAAGAAAGAAGAAACAGAUCUAAAGAAAAACCAAGAAAAAGAAUAAA